GUGGGGAAUAUUGGGCAAUGGGGGAAACCCUGACCCAGCAACGCCGCGUGAAGGAAGAAGGCUUUCGGGUUGUAAACUUCUUUUAUGAGGGACGAAGAAGUGACGGUACCUCAUGAAUAAGCCACGGCUAACUACGUGCCAGCAGCCGCGGUAAUACGUAGGUGGCAAGCGUUGUCCGGAUUUACUGGGUGUAAAGGGCGCGUAGGCGGGAUAGCAAGUCAGGUGUGAAAUCCGGGGGCUUAACCCUCGAACUGCACUUGAAACUGUUAUUCUUGAGUGAUGGAGAGGCAAGCGGAAUUCCUAGUGUAGCGGUGAAAUGCGUAGAUAUUAGGAGGAACACCAGUGGCGAAGGCGGCUUGCUGGACAUUAACUGACGCUGAGAUGCGAAAGCCAGGGUAGCGAACGGGAUUAGAUACCCUGGUAGUCC
This 427-nucleotide ribosomal RNA is filed under the name uncultured bacterium. Its description in RNAcentral is "partial 16S ribosomal RNA". It matches the Rfam family "Bacterial small subunit ribosomal RNA", at positions 354 to 796 of the family's 1533-position model. The record is from RNAcentral.